AUUGAACGCUGGCGGCAGGCCUAACACAUGCAAGUCGAGCGGAUGAAGGGAGCUUGCUCCUGGAUUCAGCGGUGGACGGGUGAGUAAUGCCUAGGAAUCUGCCUGGUAGUGGGGGAUAACGUCCGGAAACGGGCGCUAAUACCGCAUACGUCCUGAGGGAGAAAGUGGGGGAUCUUCGGACCUCACGCUAUCAGAUGAGCCUAGGUCGGAUUAGCUAGUUGGUGGGGUAAAGGCCUACCAAGGCGACGAUCCGUAACUGGUCUGAGAGGAUGAUCAGUCACACUGGAACUGAGACACGGUCCAGACUCCUACGGGAGGCAGCAGUGGGGAAUAUUGGACAAUGGGCGAAAGCCUGAUCCAGCCAUGCCGCGUGUGUGAAGAAGGUCUUCGGAUUGUAAAGCACUUUAAGUUGGGAGGAAGGGCAGUAAGUUAAUACCUCGCUGUUUUGACGUUACCAACAGAAUAAGCACCGGCUAACUUCGUG
This 484-nucleotide ribosomal RNA is filed under the name uncultured bacterium. RNAcentral describes it as "partial 16S ribosomal RNA". It matches the Rfam family "Bacterial small subunit ribosomal RNA", at positions 30 to 507 of the family's 1533-position model. The record is from RNAcentral.